CCGGUGCCUCUGUCGCCCGGAACCAGGCGCCCGCCGGAGGUCUAUAAACUCUUGUUUGUCUGGUGGUAUUAUCUGAGUGGCGCAAGCGAAAAUAAAAUCAAAACUCUCAACAACGGAUCUCUUGGUUCUGGCAUCGAUGAAGAACGCAGCGAAAUGCGAUAAGUAAUGUGAAUUGCAGAAUUCAGUGAAUCAUCGAAUCUUUGAACGCAUAUUGCGCCCGUUAGUAUUCUAGCGGGCAUGCCUGUUCGAGCGUCAUUUCAACCCUCAAGCCCCAUUGGCUUGGUGUUGGGGAUCGGCCGCUGCGGCUCUGAGCUGCGGCAGGCCGGCCCCGAAAUCUAGUGGCGGUCUCGCUGCAGCCUCCUCUGCGUAGUAGCAACACCUCGCUCUGGAAGACAGCGUGGCCACGCCGUAAAACCCCCAAGUUUUACUAAGGUUGACCUCGGAUCAGGUAGGAAUACCCGCUGAACUUAAGCAUAUCAAUAAGCGGAGGAA
RNAcentral lists this ribosomal RNA (492 nucleotides) under uncultured fungus. Its description in RNAcentral is "eukaryotic LSU rRNA". The stretch from base 102 to 255 matches the Rfam family "5.8S ribosomal RNA". Lineage: Eukaryota; Fungi. The record is from RNAcentral.